RNAcentral lists this ribosomal RNA (478 nucleotides) under uncultured bacterium. RNAcentral describes it as "partial 16S ribosomal RNA". It matches the Rfam family "Bacterial small subunit ribosomal RNA", at positions 28 to 523 of the family's 1533-position model. The record is from RNAcentral.
GACGAACGCUGGCGGCAUGCCUAACACAUGCAAGUCGAGCGAGCUGAUCUCUUCGGAGAAAAGCUAGCGGCGGACGGGUGAGUAACACGUGGGCAACCUGCCUCAUAGAGUGGAAUAGCCUUCCGAAAGGGAGAUUAAUACCGCAUAAGAUUGUAACUUCGCAUGAAGAAGCAAUUAAAGGAGCAAUCCGCUAUGAGAUGGGCCCGCGGCGCAUUAGCUAGUUGGUGAGGUAACGGCUCACCAAGGCGACGAUGCGUAGCCGACCUGAGAGGGUGAGCGGCCACAUUGGGACUGAGACACGGCCCAGACUCCUACGGGAGGCAGAAGUGGGGAAUAUUGCACAAUGGGCGAAAGCCUGAUGCAGCAAUGCCGCGUGAGUGAUGACGGCCUUCGGGUUGUAAAGCUCUGUCUUCGGGGACGAUAAUUACGGUACCCGAGGAGGAAGCCACGGCUAACUACGUGCCAGCAGCCGCCGUAA